GCCGAAGUGACGAAAUUGGCAGACGUACAGGACUUAAAAUCCUGGGGUAGCAAUACCGUACCGGUUCAAGUCCGGUCUUCGGCACCA
This 87-nucleotide transfer RNA is filed under the name Clostridiales bacterium. RNAcentral describes it as "tRNA-Leu". It matches the Rfam family "tRNA". From Rfam's summary of the family: Transfer RNA (tRNA) molecules are approximately 80 nucleotides in length. Their secondary structure includes four short double-helical elements and three loops (D, anti-codon, and T loops). The record is from RNAcentral. Lineage: Bacteria; Bacillati; Bacillota; Clostridia; Eubacteriales.